GGUCAGCUGACACAUCCCGGCCAAUCUACAGCAGACCCUCCCUCCCAGACCCUCCUACUUCCUGGACAGCAUCCAUGUUGAAGGCAGCUUCAACAUGGAUGCUGUCCAGGAGGUGGGAGGGUCUGGGAGGGAGGGUCUGCCGGAGAUUGGCAGGGAUGUGUCAGCUG
RNAcentral lists this microRNA precursor (167 nucleotides) under Pelobates cultripes (western spadefoot toad). Lineage: Eukaryota; Metazoa; Chordata; Amphibia; Anura; Pelobatidae. The record is from RNAcentral.